Long non-coding RNA from Plodia interpunctella (Indianmeal moth), 545 nucleotides. RefSeq lists it as uncharacterized. Lineage: Eukaryota; Metazoa; Arthropoda; Insecta; Lepidoptera; Pyralidae. The record is from RefSeq and is a predicted model, not a curated record. The transcript has 2 exons.
UUGUUUUGCUGCGAUAACAUCAGUAAACAAUAGUUUAAUAUCUAGACGGUGUUAUAAGAUAUUCAAAUUUAAUAAAAUAAAUAUGAACCAACAAUUUGUACAAGAUUCAGAAAUGUGUGGGUUUAAUGUGAUUUGUAAGGUGAACCAAUCAGAAAUGACUAUGAAGAGGAUAAUCACAUCUACGCCAAUAGAAAUCCGAUCUCCAGAACCUGAAGCCCCCUUCCUGGGGUCGACACCGAGAAGAAACAAGAAUAGGAAACAAAGAAUUAUUUAUAUGAACGCAAAACGGAUAGACUUUGACCAGAGCGAACAUUUUGAUUGAAAUUGGAAGCUAGAACCAAUCAAAGAUUAAUAUCUGAUAAUUUGUCCAAUAUCGUGUAUCAGUCUAGGUCCUUCUAGGCAGUCCACAUUUAUCAACUUGCACCCCUUGAAAGCAAAGACAAAAACAAAACAAGAGCUUAAAUAAAAUUGUUUUAUUGUUUUUACCAAUACUUUCUUAAUAAAUAAUUUAUUAUAUUUAUGAAAUAAAUUUAUUUUUAAGUUUU